Pyrus x bretschneideri (Chinese white pear) is the source of this 2772-nucleotide long non-coding RNA. RefSeq lists it as uncharacterized. Lineage: Eukaryota; Viridiplantae; Streptophyta; Magnoliopsida; Rosales; Rosaceae. The transcript is spliced from 9 exons. The record is from RefSeq and is a predicted model, not a curated record.
GUGGUUUUCACCGCUUCUUCCCUCUCCCUCUCCGCCUCAUCCGGUAGAAAUUCGUUUCUGUCGCUCACAAUUCGCUAAAGAAAAUUCUAAACCUCAAACAAACAAAUCGCAUAAAACCUCAAACCCAACAAAAGUAAUGAAAUAAUCAGCAAAAGUAAUGAAAAUGUUACGUGUUAGCAAUCAAAGCAACCAACAUAUGACAUAAACUAAUAGCCUAUCGGAAUUGUAGCUACAAAUCUCCAUCAAAAUUCUUGAGCGGAACCAUCAAAGUUGCUAUUCCUCAUAAGACAAUGUUGCUGAGAACGAAACACAGCGUUGCCCACUCGUCCUCCUUUGUCUUGCCAUGCGUCGAUCAUCCUGGAUAGGUCUUCUUCAAUUGGAUCUCUCCAAAAUUCUUUCGGUUUCCAUUUGCUUCUCUCAGCCUUCCUCUCUCUCUCUCUCUCUCUCUCUCAUCGCUACUCACUCUCGCUUUUCCGAUGAAUUUCCAGUCAAAAUUGGGCACGAUGCGUCCCCAAAUCACCACCAAUGGAAGGUAGUUGGAGAAUCGUGGGUUCGGGAGUUCACUAAAAUCGCUUCGAAUUUGCUUUAGUUUUGAUCAGAAGAGAAGGCAGAGGCAGCUAGUGCUGCUCUUGCUGUGACCCAGGAAGUUCUCGUGUUCGUCAACAAUAUCUCUAUGCAUCCGGAGACUUGGCUCAAUUUUCGACGGCGAUGAAGACUCAGACGCUUAUGAAAAAUUAUGACUAAUUUUUGCUGGAUUCUUUAUUUGGGUGAUCAAAUUUGUAACAGAGGACCCACAGAGAAAAAAGAGUAAAUAUCAAGAGUGCAGAAUCAUUGAAGGUCAGCACCAAACAAGUUGGGUAACUCCUACUUCAUACUAGAAGCCGCUAUAUUUUGAACAAUUGUUUAAAUGUAGAAUGCUAACCUGUUUUUUUGUGUAAAUAUAAUUUAGCUACCAGCUACUGUUCAGUGGUAAAAAAAACUACAAUUUUUGGAGUACAUCGGUAAAAUAAGAGCAGUUAUAUUUUGAACAACUCUUAAUACGUAUAUAGUAUCAGUGUAGAUGGUUAAGUUAUCAACAACUACUAUAUGGUUUUAUGUGAAUACUUGGUACAUGUUUUGUAUAAAUAGUUUCUACAUAUCCAUAUACCAACACUUAAUCCCUUCUUUGCAUACUGUACUUAUAAUUCGCUUGACACUCCCGCGGCAAUGCACGGGCUAAAUCUCUAGUAUCCUCUAAGCAUGCAUGUUGGUUGGAGUCAAAUGCAAAAUCAUAGAAUCAGAAAUUAAGGUAAUCUAUAUACAUUUCAUUUGAAGUUUCCUUUUAUAGAAUUUGCUUCACCGGUGCAGAUAAUGUUAUAACUGUUUUAAUGGUUUGAUGGAUGAUUCAGAACUGCUUCUUUGUAUGCAGAUUACCAUAUGUAUUUGAGAGCACAGCUGAUGAAAAUUUUACCGAUCGCAAAUGAUAAAUGUUACGAGCAUGGGAAAGGCAUAACCAAUAUUAAAUCAGCUUUUCAGGUAUGCAUGGAUUCCAGAUUCAAGCCAUCACUUCCGUUUAGUAUGUUGUUUAUCAAUUUGUGAUCAUAACACCAUCAGGCAGUGUUACUAUUGUGAAUGUUAUGUGAGAAAGCAAAGAAAAUUCUAAUGGGAGAAAGCAAAGUUAAGGUGAAGAUUUUGGUUUGUCCUUUAGCUUUCAAUAAGUUCAAUGCUAAUUAGGGGUUUUUCUUCAUAUGUUUUCUUUCGUGUUUCAGCUUCGAUUUCACUCAAUUUUAUGCACUUGCUGAACACCUUCUUUGUUUUACAAAAUGUUUGUAUAUUCCCAAAUAGUUAUACGAAGUACCAACACUACUUAGAUCACACUGAUAGUACUUGGACCUGAAAAAAUAAUGGUCAAACAGAUCUUUUCUCAAAGUCAAAUCUCAGUUGUACAAAUGACUGAUUUUUUAAAUGUGUUGUUAACAUUUGAUCGUUUUAUAGUUUAUUAAAUUCCAGAUUCUGAACCCUGAUAUGAUUUUGGUGGUUGUAAAUUUUUCUACUUAUUAAGGCUUCAAAAAAUAAAUAUGUGGUUUGAUAUGUUGAAUUAUCCAUUAUGUAGAUUUGGGAUUUUGGAAGUAAUACUAACUGGAAUUAAACAGGUUGCUUAAUUGGUGGACAGAUUAAGCCACUGUGAGAAAGUGAGGUGCCAUGUGUUAUAGUUCUAUACUAAAUUGCAGGAAAAGAUACAUGCAAAGGAGAUGGAGAAUAAUUUGCAAGCCAGGAAACUCUAGAAGCUGAGAUUAGAAUGUUCAGGAAGAAACUGACAUUUAAAGAACUCCAAUGCCAAUCUUCUAUCAGGAGCCUCCACCUCCUAAAGCGGACCUGAAGAAGAUACCAGCAACAAGAGCCAAUCUCCCAAGCUCGGACGUAAGAAGAGCUUACUUCCUGCAGUUUCUGAAGCAAACCGUAAUAUCAAUGGUCAGUCUAGCAGGUUUAGUCUGGAUGAGAAAGUACCUCAGAACACUGCUAGAGGGCCUUCUCCUGUGUAUCCAAAGAAGCCACAACGGAAGUCUCUUCCUAGACUCCCGAACUUUUGUUGCGGAGAAUUGUUGCUGAAAUUGGCGUCUGGGAGGGAAUACUGCGUCAAGAUGAUCUUGGAGGCCGUCCAGGGAGAGCAUUUGUCAGGUCAUUAUUUGAGGAUGUAAUAUUACCUAUUCAGAAAUUUAAUUUGAAAACUAAAUAUCAUAAGCAAACAAUUAUUUUAAAGUAUUCGAAAUUUAAUUUAAAAUGUGCAGAAAA